This 240-nucleotide long non-coding RNA is filed under the name Elaeis guineensis (African oil palm). RNAcentral describes it as "long non-coding RNA (EGUI_LNC056700)". Lineage: Eukaryota; Viridiplantae; Streptophyta; Magnoliopsida; Arecales; Arecaceae. The record is from RNAcentral.
UGCUGAGGUACUGAGAUUUGAUCUUCUAUUUAUUUUAUUUUUAGAUUAUAUGUAUGUCUUUUUUUUAGAUUUGAGUAGGAUUAGAUAUGAUCUUAUGCAUGUGGGGUUAAAAGAUUUAACCUAAUUAUUUUUCACUAUGUUUUGUAUAGAUUUUUGAAAUCUAUGCAUGCAUCCUACCCGAUUUUCUAACUUCAGCAGGUAUCAGAUUGAUCCAGGAGAGGAUCAUUGAAAAUCUAUGAA